UACGGGGGGAGCAAGCGUUGUUCGGAUUUACUGGGCGUAAAGGGCGCGUAGGCGGUCGUGACAAGUCACUUGUGAAAUCUCCGGGCUUAACUCGGAGCGGUCAAGUGAUACUGUCGGACUAGAGUACAGAAGGGGCAACUGGAAUUCUCGGUGUAGCGGUGAAAUGCGUAGAUAUCGAGAGGAACACCUGCGGCGAAGGCGGG
This 203-nucleotide ribosomal RNA is filed under the name uncultured bacterium. Its description in RNAcentral is "partial 16S ribosomal RNA". It matches the Rfam family "Bacterial small subunit ribosomal RNA", at positions 524 to 725 of the family's 1533-position model. The record is from RNAcentral.